RNAcentral lists this unclassified non-coding RNA (221 nucleotides) under Hevea brasiliensis (rubber tree). The record is from RNAcentral. Lineage: Eukaryota; Viridiplantae; Streptophyta; Magnoliopsida; Malpighiales; Euphorbiaceae.
GUGACAAUGAAAAGUUCAAGAAAAGUCAAAUCUAACAACAAUAUAUGUAUUCAACACUGUCCAUUGUAAUUUCUUUCUUUUCUUUUUCUUUUUUUCAACUAAAGGGUGUGCUUUCGGUAAGCGUCAUCUUUCUCCUACGAAGAAGCCGACUUUUUGGUAGUGUCGGCGGGGAGUUCCCCUUUUGUUUUAUUUAUUUUGUUAUUUUAAUAUUGCAAGAAAUG